UGCGGGGGCGUGGCGUACGGCUCAGUAACACGUAGUCAACCUGGCCUGGAGACAAGGACAACCCCGGGAAACUGGGAUUAAUCCUUGAUAGGUCAUCUCAUCUGGAAGGAGAGAUGGCUUAAAGGGGUACGCGGGCUUCUUCCGCGAAUUCGCUCCAGGAUGGGACUGCGUCCGAUCAGGCUGUUGGCGGGGUAAUGGCCCACCAAACCUGUAACCGGUACGGGCCUUGAGAGAGGUGGCCCGGAGAUGGACACUGAGAGAAGGGUCCAGGUCCUACGGGGCGCAGCAGGCGCGAAACCUUCGCAAUGCGCGAAAGCGUGACGAGGUUAAUCCGAGUGACUCCCGCUGAGGGGGUCUUUUGUCAGCUGUAAAUAGGCAGGCGAAUAAGGGGAGGGCAAGCCUGGUGUCAGCCGCCGCGGUAAUACCAGCUCCUCGAGUGGUCGGGGCGAUUAUUGGGCCUAAAGCAUCCGUAGCCGGUUCCGUAGGUCCUCUGUUAAAUCCAACCGCUCAACGGUUGACCUGCAGAGGAUACCGCGGGACUAGGAGGCGGGAGAGGCGGACGGUACUCCGCGUGUAGGGGUAAAAUCCUUUGAUCCGCGGAAGACCACCAGUGGCGAAGGCGGUCCGCCAGAACGCGCUCGACGGUGAGGGAUGAAAGCUGGGGGAGCGAACCGGAUUAGAUACCCGGGUAGUCCCAGCCGUAAACGAUGCUAGCUAGAUGAUUCAUUCGCAAGUCGCGAAUGAAGUGUCGCAGGGAAGCCGUUAAGCUAGCCGCCUGGGGAGUACGGUCGCAAGACUGAAACUUAAAGGAAUUGGCGGG
This 820-nucleotide ribosomal RNA is filed under the name uncultured archaeon. RNAcentral describes it as "bacterial SSU rRNA". It matches the Rfam family "Archaeal small subunit ribosomal RNA", at positions 69 to 872 of the family's 1478-position model. The record is from RNAcentral.